GAUGAAGAACGCAGCGAAAUGCGAUACGUAAUGUGAAUUGCAGAAUUCAGUGAAUCAUCGAGUCUUUGAACGCACAUUGCGCCCUCUGGUAUUCCGGGGGGCAUGCCUGUCCGAGCGUCAUUGCUGCCCUCAAGCACGGCUUGUGUGUUGGGCCUCCCCGUCCCGGUUCUCCAGCCGGGACGGGCCCGAAGGGCAGCGGCGGCACCGUGUCCGGUCCUCGAGUGUAUGGGGCUCUGUCACCCACUCGUGUAGGCCCGGCCGGCGGCCAGCAUCUUUCAACCAAAACUUCUUUAACCAGGUUGACCUCGGAUCAGGUAGGGAUACCCGCUGAACUUAAGCAUAUCAAUAAGCGGAGGA
RNAcentral lists this unclassified non-coding RNA (357 nucleotides) under soil metagenome. RNAcentral describes it as "partial contains 5.8S ribosomal RNA, internal transcribed spacer 2, and large subunit ribosomal RNA". The stretch from base 1 to 120 matches the Rfam family "5.8S ribosomal RNA", at positions 35 to 154 of the family's 154-position model. The record is from RNAcentral.